This 592-nucleotide ribosomal RNA is filed under the name uncultured delta proteobacterium. RNAcentral's name for it is "bacterial SSU rRNA". It matches the Rfam family "Bacterial small subunit ribosomal RNA", at positions 335 to 918 of the family's 1533-position model. The record is from RNAcentral. Lineage: Bacteria; Deltaproteobacteria.
UUUCCUACGGGAGGCAGCAGUGGGGAAUAUUGGACAAUGGGCGCAAGCCUGAUCCAGCAAUGCCGCGUGUGUGAAGAAGGCCUGCGGGUUGUAAAGCACUUUCAGUAGGGAGGACAAGUAGCGGGUUAAUAUCCCGUUACCGUGACGUUACCUACAGAAGAAGCACCGGCUAACUCUGUGCCAGCAGCCGCGGUAAUACGGAGGGGGUUAGCGUUGUUCGGAAUUAUUGGGCGUAAAGAGCAUGUAGGCGGCUCGCCAAGUCUGAUGUGAAAGCCCUGGGCUCAACCCAGGAAGUGCAUUGGAAACUGGCGAACUUGAGUACGGGAGAGGAAAGUGGAAUUUCGAGUGUAGGGGUGAAAUCCGUAGAUAUUCGAAGGAACACCAGUGGCGAAGGCGGCUUUCUGGACCGAUACUGACGCUGAGAUGCGAAAGCGUGGGGAGCAAACAGGAUUAGAUACCCUGGUAGUCCACGCCGUAAACGAUGGGUACUAGGUGUUGCGGGUAUUGACCCCUGCAGUGCCAAAGCUAACGCAUUAAGUACCCCGCCUGGGGAGUACGGCCGCAAGGCUAAAACUCAAAUGAAUUGACGGAA